AGAGUUUGAUCAUGGCUCAGAACGAACGCUGGCGGCAGGCUUAACACAUGCAAGUCGAACGAACGUAGCAAUACGUUAGUGGCGCACGGGUGAGUAACGCGUGGAUAUCUGCCUUUUGGUUCGGGAUAACCUUGGGAAACUAGGGCUAAUACCGAAUGGUUCCUACGGGAUAAAGAUUUAUCGCCAAAAGAUGAGUCCGCGUCCGAUUAGCUAGUCGGCGGGGUAAUGGCCCACCAAGGCGACGAUCGGUAGCUGGUCUGAGAGGACGAUCAGCCACACUGGGACUGAGACACGGCCCAGACUCCUACGGGAGGCAGCAGUGGGGAAUAUUGGACAAUGGGGGCAACCCUGAUCCAGCCAUGCCGCGUGAGUGAUGAAGGCCUUCGGGUUGUAAAGCUCUUUUGGCGGGGACGAUGAUGACGGUACCCGCAGAAUAAGCCCCGGCUAACUUCGUGCCAGCAGCCGCGGUAAGACGAAGGGGGCUAGCGUUGUUCGGAAUUACUGGGCGUAAAGCGUGUGUAGGUGGUUGUCAUAGUCAGGCGUGAAAGCCUUGAGCUCAACUCAAGAAAUGCGCUUGAUACUGGGCAGCUAGAGGACCGGAGAGGAUAGUGGAAUUCCCAGUGUAGUGGUGAAAUACGUAGAGAUUGGGAAGAACACCAGUGGCGAAGGCGGCUAUCUGGACGGUUUCUGACACUAAGACACGAAAGCGUGGGGAGCAAACAGGAUUAGAUACCCUAGUAGUCC
This 744-nucleotide ribosomal RNA is filed under the name uncultured bacterium. RNAcentral's name for it is "bacterial SSU rRNA". It matches the Rfam family "Bacterial small subunit ribosomal RNA", at positions 8 to 796 of the family's 1533-position model. The record is from RNAcentral.